RNAcentral lists this ribosomal RNA (1491 nucleotides) under metagenome. RNAcentral describes it as "bacterial SSU rRNA". It matches the Rfam family "Bacterial small subunit ribosomal RNA". The record is from RNAcentral.
AGAGUUUGAUCCUGGCUCAGAACGAACGCUGGCGGCGUGGCUAAGGCACGCAAGUCGAACGGACCAUUUAUAUGGGUAACCAAAUGGAUGGUUAGUGGCGAACGGGUGAGUAAUGCAUAGGUAACGUGCCCCCGAACUCUGGGAUAGCCGGGGGAAACCCCGGGUAAUACCGGAUAAUGUCCUGUUGUCGCAUGGCAGUAGGACCGAAGGCUUCGGCUGGUUUAGGAGCGGCCUAUGUCGUAUCAGCUUGUUGGUGAGGUAAUGGCUCACCAAGGCAUCGACGCGUAGCGGGACUGAGAGGUUGUUCCGCCACAUCGGGACUGAGACACUGCCCGGACCCCCACGGGGGGCUGCAGCAACGAAUCUUGCGCAAUGGACGAAAGUCUGACGCAGCGACGCCGCGUGUAGGACGAAGCCCCUCGGGGUGUAAACUACUGUCAGGGUGAAGAAAGAUCUGAUCGAACCCAGAGGAAGGACCGGCUAACUUCGUGCCAGCAGCCGCGGUAAUACGAAGGGUCCUGGCGUUGUUCGGAAUUACUGGGCUUAAAGAGCACGUAGGCGGGAAAGUAAGUGUCUUGUGAAAGUCCUCGGCUUAACCGAGGAACUGCAGGGCAUACUGCUUUCCUUGAGACAGGUAGGGGCGCGUGGAACUCUAGGUGGAGCGGUGAAAUGCGUAGAUACCUAGAGGAACGCCUGUGGUGAAAACGGCGCGCUGGGCCUGGUCUGACGCUGAGGUGCGAAAGCGUGGGUAGCGAACAGGAUUAGAUACCCUGGUAGUCCACGCCGUAAACGAUGUCUACUAGGUCGCGGGAGUUCUGACGCUGUCGCGGCCGAAGCAAAAGUAUUAAGUAGACCGCCUGGGGAGUACGGUCGCAAGGCUAAAACUCAAAGGAAUUGACGGGGGCUCACACAAGCGGUGGAGCAUGUGGCUUAAUUCGAAUCAACGCGAAGAACCUUAUCCUGGGUUUGACAUGCUUGGAUGCCCAUCCUGAAAGGGAGUAGGCUGCCUUCGGGUGAAACUUGCACAGGUGCUGCAUGGCUGUCGUCAGCUCGUGUCGUGAGAUGUUGGGUUAAGUCCCUUAACGAGCGAAACCCUUGUCGUUAGUUGCCAGCGGGUAAUGCCGGGGACUCUAGCGAGACUGCCGGUGUCAAACCGGAGGAAGGUGGGGAUGACGUCAAGUCCUCAUGGCCUUUAUGCCCAGGGCUGCACACGUGCUACAAUGGCGACCACAAACCGACGCAAAACCGUGAGGUGGAGCAAAUCGGAAAAAGGUCGCCCCAGUUCGGAUUGCAGGCUGCAACUCGCCUGCAUGAAGUCGGAAUCGCUAGUAAUCGCAGAUCAGCAUGCUGCGGUGAAUAUGUUCCUGAGCCUUGUACACACCGCCCGUCAAGUCACGGAAGUUGGGUGGACCUGAAGUCGGGUAGCUAACUCCUCGGAGAGGCGCCUGCCGAUGGUGUGCUCGAUGACUGGGGCUAAGUCGAAACAAGGUA